Long non-coding RNA from Patiria miniata (bat star), 3536 nucleotides. RefSeq lists it as uncharacterized. The record is from RefSeq and is a predicted model, not a curated record. The transcript is spliced from 4 exons. Lineage: Eukaryota; Metazoa; Echinodermata; Asteroidea; Valvatida; Asterinidae.
ACCGGCCAGACUUAAAUUCCUGUAAUUAUGCUGCCAGGUCCCGUCUGUAAAAUAUUUCUUUGUCGAUGUCUUAUAUUUUUAGCAUAAACAGCGAUGCGAAAGUUGUCGAAGCAUUGCGAGCGCCCUCUUGUGUUUUCCGUUGAAUAGAGCAUACACAGUUGCGUAACAAUUUGCAUAUGACAUGCAGUGCGAAAAAGCCUUUUAUUCCGUGCAGUGUCUCAAAAGCAUAGGGCUUCGGACGCACAUUCCGUGAAUUUUUCGCUAGUUUUCUUGGAGAGUAAGCAAGCAUGGGUAGGUCACUUGACUGCUUGUCGUUGCUGCUGCCAGCCACACCUUAUUGCGAGCCAGCUUGUCUAUAUUUUGCUGUGUUUCUCACGUGGUUUUGCCAUGGUUAGCACGCCGCAUGUGCAUACACAUAUCAUGUACAUGCAUAUCGUGUAGUUUGCCCAAACAUCCCGAGGCAUAGGUACACAGGCCGCAACUGCUCCGCUACUGCUUGUGGUUCUGUGGUUCCUGAGUGGUCACAAAUAGAGAAGCCUUCUCGAGUAGACCAGUGUAUCCCAUAUCCAGCAUCCAUAAUAUUUGGACUGCUGAAGAAUGACUGUCGUUUUUUUGUAAUAAAAUUUUGAUCAAUUUAUAGUGGAAUAUAUACCCAGUGUCACUUUCAAAUUUCUGCGUAACCUUUCCAGCUCGGUUACAAAAAUGGCGUAGUCGGCAGGAUCCUUCCUCGUCGCAAAAAAUGGCGUAGUCGGCAGGAUGUCAUAAAAGACAUCCUUAUUUGUGACACAUUUGAUCAAAUAUAAACGACAGUCAUUAUUAUCAUCAUCAUCAUCAUCAUCAUCAUCAUCAUCUUCGAUGACAACCUUCUUGAGAGAAGCGUCUUUCAUCAGAAGGGUGGUUUGCUGCAGCAGUGCGUUUUACAUCAUCUAGUCUCCGGACAGACAGCUGCCCAGAUGUUCGUCGAAAGUGAGAGUAUUUUUAUACGUAGCUACACACAUCUUCCCCACAGUUUGGCACCGUCGUCUGGGACAGAUUGGAGAGACAUUCUUCACAUUACCUGUUUUUCAGCCGAGCGGCCGUGGAGUGUGCUGCUAGUAUUCAGCUACGGAACUCUUUCACUGAUGGUGAACUGUAAACAUAUUCACUGGGAACAGUGUCGUGCAGUCAAGAUUUUUAACAUUUUAAUAUUGCAUAUUCAUUUGUAUUUUAACUUGUAGCCAUUGAGCAUGUCGUUUUGACAAUGGAAGUUUUGCAUGUUAGAAACAGCUUUAUCACAUACAUAGAACAGAUUGAUUGUUUGAUUGGUCCGAUUGAAGAUCAGCUAUUUUCGUAAAAUCAAGUUUGCCUUGGAGUCGACGUUAUAGAUAUUUCACAUUUGAGUAUAUACUCGUAUAUUGUGUGAAUAUUUUAGUAACACCGUGGUAGUUUAUUUCUUUUUAUAUCUGCAGGUUUAAGCUUUCCAGGGACAGUUCUGGCUUCUGUACCUCAUGCUCUGCUCCCUGCCCUGCUAUCUUCAAUGCAGUUACUACCCGCUUGUUGCUCAGUCUCUCGUAUCCGCGAACUGCUGUAGCAUAUCGUAUCUGUUUCUUUACCGACGCUGCGUAGAAUGCGUGUUAAGGUGAUGCAUGCUAAUUGCUUGCUCAUGCUGCCUGUACUUGUAUUGUCCGUGUAUUGAUUUUUUCACAUAACUAGUUGUAGUCUCUGGUUGAAACAUAUUGAAUUCAUAGUCGCAGAAAGUAGAGUAUUUGCUCUAGAUUUGAGACUUUUGGAGGAAUGACACCUGUACAUUUAAAACCCAGGAUAGAUCUAAUGCAGACCCUGUAUGUCAUUCUUAAACUGUACAGUCCUUUUAUCCGUAUUGAUAGUAGCCAGUAUUUGGUAAAUUUUAUUCUCUUCAUGUCCUAAUUUCGUUUUAACCACUAUAUUUUUGGGAUUAGCUAACCCAAAGUGGAUAAAUAAACAUGUUUAGGUUGGGGAUGAAAGAGGCCCUGUAAGUAUAUGUUGAGGAUUUUCUUUUUAAAAUACAUGUAGGUGUUAGCCAGAUGCUUGGAUUUUUUUAUAGUGAAGGAUAGUGUAGUAUAUGAUCAUCUUGAGAAAUUAGGUUUCUUGGACCAAUUGAGAUAAAUGUAAUCUCUAUUUCUCCAGCGACAUGCUACAGAUGGACCAUAUUUUUACCAUUUUCUCUAUCCCACCAUUCCACACUAUCUUGCCAUUUUAAUUAAUACUGAUAUUAUGGAUGUUUUUUUAGGGAAUGUUUUAUUUUGAGAAACAGAUAGCCAGAUUUUCAUUUAGUUAGGGCUUUCGUAUGUCUGAUCAUUGGCCAAAUUGGGAGUUUUAGAUUUAAGGUCCAUUGAGGUCAUCUCAUUUCACUAGUCAUAUACUAGUGGUGGACAUUCUUUUAUCGUGCUCUCGACCAUGUGUACAUAUUAUCAUAGUCCAACUUCAUUCUGAAGAACUGGUGAAGGAUUUUUUUUAAGUAAACAUCUCCUGUCCACUGUCUCACUCAGUCUAGAGCUGCCAAGAUAAUUUUUUUGUCUUUUGAGAAUAUUUUUCAUUACACAAUUUUUAAUCCCGGAUGAUUGUGACCGGCCAGACUUAAAUUCCUGUAAUUAUGCUGCCAGGUCCCGUCUGUAAAAUAUUUCUUUGUCGAUGUCUUAUAUUUUUAGCAUAAACAGCGAUGCGAAAGUUGUCGAAGCAUUGCGAGCGCCCUCUUGUGUUUUCCGUUGAAUAGAGCAUACACAGUUGCGUAACAAUUUGCAUAUGACAUGCAGUGCGAAAAAGCCUUUUAUUCCGUGCAGUGUCUCAAAAGCAUAGGGCUUCGGACGCACAUUCCGUGAAUUUUUCGCUAGUUUUCUUGGAGAGUAAGCAAGCAUGGGUAGGUCACUUGACUGCUUGUCGUUGCUGCUGCCAGCCACACCUUAUUGCGAGCCAGCUUGUCUAUAUUUUGCUGUGUUUCUCACGUGGUUUUGCCAUGGUUAGCACGCCGCAUGUGCAUACACAUAUCAUGUACAUGCAUAUCGUGUAGUUUGCCCAAACAUCCCGAGGCAUAGGUACACAGGCCGCAACUGCUCCGCUACUGCUUGUGGUUCUGUGGUUCCUGAGUGGUCACAAAUAGAGAAGCCUUCUCGAGUAGACCAGUGUAUCCCAUAUCCAGCAUCCAUAAUAUUUGGGUACGUGUGUAAAACAUUAUUGCUUGAAAUGUGCAUUGGAAAUUGGAAAUUGGAGAUUUAGAGAUUUGGAGAUUUGGAGAUUAAUGUGUUGUAAAAUUAUUGCAUAGCAAGUGCUUAUGGAGAUUAUUUCUCCUUGAUUAAAUUUUUAUGCCUUUAAUAUUUUUAUGCCUCUCUAAGAAAUGUACUUGUAAAUUCGCAGCAAAAACAUUUCUAUGGAACAAAUCAAUGGAAAUUGAGGUUUAUAGAACAAGUAAAGCAAUUUCUCGAGAUAAAAGAUAACCAAGGAUAAGGAGAGAUGGUUAUUUCAAAUAAUUAAAUAAUUGAAUAUUGGAUUCAUAGUCAUUGUAUAUUUGUAAAUAAAUUAAU